RNAcentral lists this ribosomal RNA (620 nucleotides) under Brevibacterium epidermidis. RNAcentral describes it as "bacterial SSU rRNA". It matches the Rfam family "Bacterial small subunit ribosomal RNA", at positions 87 to 722 of the family's 1533-position model. The record is from RNAcentral. Lineage: Bacteria; Bacillati; Actinomycetota; Actinomycetes; Micrococcales; Brevibacteriaceae.
GUGGAUGAGUGGCGAACGGGUGAGUAACACGUGAGUAACCUGCCCCUGAUUUCGGGAUAAGCCUGGGAAACUGGGUCUAAUACCGGAUACGACCUCCUGACGCAUGUUGGGUGGUGGAAAGUUUUUCGAUCGGGGAUGGGCUCGCGGCCUAUCAGCUUGUUGGUGGGGUAAUGGCCUACCAAGGCGACGACGGGUAGCCGGCCUGAGAGGGCGACCGGCCACACUGGGACUGAGACACGGCCCAGACUCCUACGGGAGGCAGCAGUGGGGAAUAUUGCACAAUGGGGGAAACCCUGAUGCAGCGACGCAGCGUGCGGGAUGACGGCCUUCGGGUUGUAAACCGCUUUCAGCAGGGAAGAAGCGAAAGUGACGGUACCUGCAGAAGAAGUACCGGCUAACUACGUGCCAGCAGCCGCGGUAAUACGUAGGGUACGAGCGUUGUCCGGAAUUAUUGGGCGUAAAGAGCUCGUAGGUGGUUGGUCACGUCUGCUGUGGAAACGCAACGCUUAACGUUGCGCGUGCAGUGGGUACGGGCUGACUAGAGUGCAGUAGGGGAGUCUGGAAUUCCUGGUGUAGCGGUGAAAUGCGCAGAUAUCAGGAGGAACACCGGUGGCGAAGGC